GACGAACGCUGGCGGCGCGCUUAACACAUGCAAGUCGAACGGAAAGGCCUGCUUUCCCUUGUGGAUUGCGGGUACUCGAGUGGCGAACGGGUGAGUAACACGUGAGUGAUCUGCCCCCAACUUGGGUAUAAGCCUGGGAAACUGGGUCUAAUUCUCGAUAGGACUGCAGGGUGGUGCCUGUGGUGGAAAACGAUUUUCUAGUGGUUGGGGAUGAGCUCGCGGCCUAUCAGCUUGUUGGUGGGGUAAUGGCCUACCAAGGCGGCGACGGGUAGCCGGCCUGAGAGGGUCGACGGCCACAUUGGGACAGAGACACGGCCCAGACGCCUACGGGAGGCAGCAGUGCGGCAUAUUACACAAUGGGCGGAAGCCUGAUGCAGCGACGCAGCGUGGGGGAUGACGGCCUUCGGGUUGUAAACUCCUUGCGACCGCGAGGAAGCCACGUGGUUGGAAGGGUGGUGACGGUAGUGGUAGAGGAAGCACCGGCUAACUACGUG
This 494-nucleotide ribosomal RNA is filed under the name uncultured bacterium. RNAcentral's name for it is "partial 16S ribosomal RNA". It matches the Rfam family "Bacterial small subunit ribosomal RNA", at positions 28 to 507 of the family's 1533-position model. The record is from RNAcentral.